GCCCCGGUGGCCUAGUGGUUGGAGUGUCCGCUUCAGAUGCAGGAAAUCGUGGGUUCUAUCCCCAGCUGAGUCA
This is a non-coding RNA of Potamilus streckersoni, 73 nucleotides long. Lineage: Eukaryota; Metazoa; Mollusca; Bivalvia; Unionida; Unionidae. The record is from the annotation of a GenBank genome assembly.